RNAcentral lists this ribosomal RNA (579 nucleotides) under Alcanivorax borkumensis. RNAcentral's name for it is "bacterial SSU rRNA". It matches the Rfam family "Bacterial small subunit ribosomal RNA", at positions 55 to 624 of the family's 1533-position model. Lineage: Bacteria; Pseudomonadati; Pseudomonadota; Gammaproteobacteria; Oceanospirillales; Alcanivoracaceae. The record is from RNAcentral.
AUGCAAGUUCGAGCGGAACGAUUCCUAGCUUGCUAGGAGGCGUCGAGCGGCGGACGGGUGAGUAACACGUGAGAAUCUGCCCAUUAGAGGGGGAUAACCUGGGGAAACCCAGGCUAAUACCGCAUAAUCCCUACGGGGGAAAGCAGGGGAUCUUCGGACCUUGUGCUGAUGGAUGAGCUCGCGUCGGAUUAGCUUGUUGGUGAGGUAAUGGCUCACCAAGGCGACGAUCCGUAGCUGGUCUUAGAGGAUGAUCAGCCACGCCGGGACUGAGACACGGCCCGGACUCCUACGGGAGGCAGCAGUGGGGAAUCUUGGACAAUGGGGGCAACCCUGAUCCAGCCAUGCCGCGUGUGUGAAGAAGGCCUUCGGGUUGUAAAGCACUUUCAGUAGGGAGGAAGGCUUAUCCUUAAUACGGAUGAGUACUUGACGUUACCUACAGAAGAAGCACCGGCUAAUUUCGUGCCAUCAGCCGCGGUAAUACGAAAGGUGCGAGCGUUAAUCGGAAUUACUGGGCGUAAAGCGCGCGUAGGCGGUUUGCUAAGUCAGAUGUGAAAGCCCCGGGCUCAACCUGGGAACUGC